UCGUCGUCGACGGGAACGUCUCCUCCCAUUAAAAGCGCAUCGCCGGAAAUCCUGAAAUAAAUCCAGGAAUAAUGCGAGCACCAGGAUUUGAACCCUGGUGGGUUGGUGAUACCACUGUCCACCUAACCAACUCAACCACAAGUUGAUUCGUAGGUAGUGCUAAUUUAUUAAGGCAUGUUAAACAUUGUAUUCUGUGUAUAUACAUGGUGUACGUAUAAACCGCGUAUAUCACGUUGUGUGCGUGCGUGUGUAUCACGUUAGGAAGUUGGGGCCGGUAGGAUCGAUCUCAUAUGUCGUUGUAGCUAUCCUGUAGAUUAGAGAUCGAUCCUAACCUCCUCUAACUCAUGUGCUUGUAAUCUCCUAUGCCUAUAUUAACACAUACGCGUCUCUGCUACGUCAGCAUACGCUUAACCUAAUUCUCACAUGGUAUACAGAGCCAUCGCUCUUCAUCGCAUCUAGCCAUGUCGAGUUCUUCAUCUUCCGCCGCCAUGAUUGCACCCUCGAUCGCUGCUCUUGGCCACACCAUCACCGAGAAGCUCACGCGCGAGAACUUUCUCGUGUGGAGGGCGCAAGUCCUGCCGCACAUCAAGGCGGCAGGGAUGACCGGCUACAUCGACGGCUCCAUCAAGGAGCCCGCUGCUGAGAUCGCCACGGAGAAAGAAGUCUCCGGCAAGAAGGUGGUCACCUUCGUGGCCAACCCCGAGCACGCCAUAUGGGUCACCCAGGACCAGCAGGUUCUUACUUUUUUGAUUGCAUCGCUAUCCUGAGAGGUCUUGAUGCAGGUCAGCACAUGCACUACCGCGGCGACGCUCUGGGCUGCGCUCCUGCAGAGUUUCUCGUCGCAAUCCAGGGCGAGGGUGAUCCAGCUCCGCUCACAGCUCGAGCAUACCCGCAAGGGCGACCUUUCUGCGGCGGCCUACUUCACCAAGAUGAAGGGCAUCGCCGACGAACUUGCAGCCGCCGGCAAGUCGCUUGAUGAGGAUGAUGUGGUCGACCACAUCCUGCAAGGUCUUCUUCAUGAACCGGACUACAAUGGGUUCGUCUCCGCCAUCUCCACGCGCACGGCAACCGAGUAGCCGAUCGGCCUCAACGAGCUUUUCUCGCUGCUUCUCUCCGCCGAGGCUCGCAUCGCCGCCCAGACCGCCUCCUACUCCGUGAAUCUUGCGGCCAGGGGUGGUGGCCGCGGCGGCGGCAACUAUAGCUGCCCUGGUGGCGGCAACGACGGUGGCUCCCGCGGCUUCAACAACAACAACGCGGGUGGCCAGUGCUACCCCGACAACUCUGGCAACGGCGGCUCUGGAGGCGCGCCGCGACAAGGUGGUGGUGACCGCGGUGAUCGCGGUGACCGCGAGAAGUGCCAGAUCUGCAAGAUGGAGGGGCAUGGAGCUUGGCGCUGCAGAAAGCGCUAUGAUCGCGACUACAACAACAACGUCCGCAACCCUGCGGGCGGAGGUGGUGGUGGAGGGAACCGUUCGGCCAAUGCUGUUCACUCCUAUGGAGUGGACACAAAUUGGUACCUCGACACCGGAGCAACCGAUCAUGUGACAGGGGAGCUGGAGAAGCUUGCUGUUCGGGAUCGGUACACUGGCACGGAACAAAUCCAAACUGCGAGUGGUCAAGGUAUGGACAUUGCUCACAUUGGUCAUUCGGUUGUCACUACACCUCAUGGCUCUCUCAAACUAAAUAACAUCAUCCAUGCACCAGAAUCAGAUCAAAGUUUACUUUCUGCCUACAAGCUUAUUCGUGAUAACCAUGCCUUCCUUGAAGUUUACCCUGAAAUUUUCUUUGUUAAGGACCGAGCCACCCGGAGAACCGUUCUUCAAAGCAAGAGUAGGGGACGGUUGUUCCUUAUUUCUGGCCGCCAUGAUGCUCCCUCUCGUCAAGCUCUCACUGUGAUCAAGCCAUCUACCUCAAGAUGGCACAAGCGCCUAGGGCAUCCUGCCUUUCCAGUGGUCCAGAAAAUUCUUCGAGAUUUUAGUCUUUCAGUUUCCAAUAAAAAGGAUCAUCUCCUUGUGUGUGAUUCAUGUCAGAUGGCCAAGAGUCAUCAACUUCCUUAUUCUCGUUUACUAGUGAAUCAAAGGCUCCUUUAGAGCUAGUUUUUUCAGAUGUGUGGGGUCCUCGACCCAUUUCUGUUGGUAGACAAAAGUACUAUGUUGGAUCUAUUUUCUUAAGAAUAUGUCUGAUGUAUUUGCAAAGUUUCAUCUUUUCCAACAACAUGUUGAACGUCUCUUUGAUCACGAAAUCCUUGCCAUGCAAAAGGACUGGGGUGGUGAAUACCAAAAACUCCAUUCUUUCUUUGAUCGCAUGGGCAUCACUCAUCAUGUUUCCUGUCCACAUGCCCACCAACAGAAUGGCUCCGCUGAAAAAAAACAUAGCCACAUAGUGGAGGUGGGCCUCUCCCUCCUUGCGCAUGCCUACAUGCCAUUGAAGUUUUGGGACGAAGCGUUCCUCACAGCCGUCUAUCUCAUCAAUCAUGUUCCUAGCAGAGUCAUUAAUAACCAAACCCCUCUUGAACGUCUCUUUGGCACCAAACCAAACUACACAUUCCUUCGCAUUUUUGGUUGUGCAGUUUGGCCAAAUCUACAUCCUUUUAAUAAGCACAAGCUAGAGUUUCGUUCAAAACAGUGUGUUUUUCUGGGGUACAGUAGUCUUCAUAAGGGCUACAAGUGUUUGGAUGUUGCUACCGGACGUGUCUAUUUUUCUCGCGAUGUGGUUUUUGAUGAACAAGUGUUUCCUUUUGCCAAACUCCACCCCAACGCCGGCGCUCAACUUCGCAAAGAGCUUGUUCUUCUACCCGCCCAUCUCCUCCCAUCGCCAAACUUUAUCCCCGGGGGUGUAGUAGAUCCUGCUGACCAUGUGUCCAUGUCUCAUGACUCUAUUGAUCAAAACUCUGCUGAAAGUGUGCAGGAAUAUAAUGAAGCUUUUGGAGAAAACUCGUAUGAUUUUAUGUCAGGAUCCAAAACUACAGCACACGCCGCAGAAGAUCCGGACGGCGAUCCCGGAGCUGAUCUGGGCGGGAUCCCCUCGGGAUCAGCCUCGUCAGGCGCACCAGGCAGGCCAGGCGAAUCGCCUCUGGGAUCCGCGUCGGUGUCAGCCAGGCGGCCUGCACCUGUGGCUGGAUUUGGUGGGCCAGGCGCACAUGGCACCGGUCGGCCCUUGUCGCAUCCGCGGGUCACGUCUGUGUCGCGGCCAGGAGGGCCCUCUGCGCGCGGCUCCGGUCGGCUGCCGCCCAACCAGCCACUAGAGACCAACCCAGACGCGCCAAGUGGCCGCUUCGGGGAGGCGGGCGUCCUCAUCUGCUGAUUCGCUCGAGCCACAACAGGAGUUCUCUCCUGGAUCUUCUGUGGACUCCGGAUUGGCCGUGUCUUCUUCUUCCAAUCGACUUCAGCAAUGUAACUCGCAACCUGCUCCGCCGCUUCCUGCACGCUCCCAUACCAGGUCACAAAGUGGUAUUGUUCAGCCUAAAAUCUAUAUAGAUGGUUGUGUUCGUUGGGGUUCUUUUUGUGCCACAGGAGGACCGCAGAAUCUGGGGGAAGAACUAGGUGAACGCAGAUGGAAGGAGGCAAUGGAUGAGGAAUAUGAUGCUCUUAUGAAAAACAAGACAUGGUGUUUGGUUCCACCAGUCAAGGGGAGGAAUCUUAUUGACUGCAAGUGGGUCUAUAAGGUCAAACGAAAAUCUGAUGGCACUAUUGACAGGUAUAAGGCAUGUUUAGUUGCCAAAGGGUUUAAACAGAGGGACGGGCUUGAUUACGAGGACACAUUUAGUCCUGUAGUAAAAGCAGCUACUAUCAGAAUAAUUCUUUCAGUUGCAGUCUCUAGAAACUGGUGCAUUCGACAGCUAGAUGUAAAGAACACGUUCUUGCAUGGUGUUCUUGAAGAGGAAGUGUUCAUGAGGCAACCGCCUGGGUAUGAAAACUCCAGAUUUCCACGUCAUGUCUGUAAGCUUGAGAAGGCAUUGUAUGGGCUGAAACAGGCACCUAGGGCUUGGUACUCUCGGUUAUCUUCAAAGUUGCAAUCUCUGGGGUUCUCUCCAUCUAGCGGAUACACCUCAUUGUUCUUUUAUCACAAGCAUGGGAUAACCAUUUUUAUGCUCAUUUAUGUUGAUGAUAUUGUUGUCACAAGUUCCUCAUCUCAAGCAGUUGAAGCUCUCCUCAAGGACUUGAGAAAGGACUUUGCACUAAAGGACCUGGGCAACCUGCAUUUCUUUCUUGGAAUUGAGGUAAAACAUGUACCAAGUGGAAUUGUGUUGUCACAGGAGAAAUAUGUACAAGAAAUAUUUCAGCGGAUGGGCAUGAAGACAUGUAAGCCAUCACCUACACCUUUGUCUGUCUCUAAAAAAUUGUCCCUUCAUGAUGGAGAGGCACUUGGGGCAGAAGAUGUCACCAGGUAUAGAAGUGUUGUAGGAGCAUUGCAAUACUUGACUUUGACUAGGCCAGAUAUUUCAUACUCACUAAACAAAGUUUGUCAAAUUUUUACAUGCUCCUACUAGUGUCCAUUGGACAGCCGUAAAAAGGAUACUUAGAUAUCUUCAAGGAACCAAAGGUCAUGGUUUAAAAUUUGGAAAGUCAGAUUCUAUGCUAGUUAGUGCUUUUUCAGAUGCAGACUGGCCAGGCUGUCCUGAUGACAGGAGGUCAAUAGGAGGCUUUGCAGUAUUCCUUGGAGGUAAUUUGAUAUCCUGGUGUGCUCGCAAGCAACCUACUGUUUCUCGGUCCAGUACAGAAGCUGAGUACAAGGCAUUAGCCAAUGCUACUGCUGAAAUUAUUUGGGUCCAACAUUUGCUGACAGAACUGGGUGUUCAUCAUCCAAAAGCUGCAUCGCUCUGGUGUGAUAAUCUUGGUGCCACAUACCUAUUUGCUAAUCCUAUAUUUCAUGCCAGGACAAAAUAUAUUGAAAUUGACUAUCAUUUUGUUCGUGAACGGGUGGCUGAAAAAUUGUUGAAUAUAAGGUUUAUACCCACUGGUGAUCAAGUUGAGGAUGGAUUCACUAAGCCACUUACUUUGCAAUAGCUGAAGGCAUUCAGGGCAAUCUCAACUUAGAUAGUUGUGAUUGAGGGGGAGUGUUAAACAUUGUAUUCUGUGUAUAUACGCGGUGUACGUAUAAACCACGUAUAUCACGUUGUGUGUGCGUGCGUGUGUAUCACGUUAGGAAGUUGGGUCGGUAGGAUCGAUCUCAUAUGUCAUUGUAGCUAUCCUGUAGAUAAGAGAUCGAUCCUAACCUCCUCUAACUCCUGUGCUUGUAAUCUCCUGUGCCUAUAUUAACACGUACGCGUCCCUGCUAUGCCAGCA
RNAcentral lists this long non-coding RNA (5285 nucleotides) under Triticum aestivum (bread wheat). RNAcentral describes it as "long non-coding RNA (TAES_LNC000379)". The record is from RNAcentral. Lineage: Eukaryota; Viridiplantae; Streptophyta; Magnoliopsida; Poales; Poaceae.